Molecule: ribosomal RNA, 696 nt
Filed under: uncultured bacterium
Lineage: Bacteria
Description: bacterial SSU rRNA
Rfam family: Bacterial small subunit ribosomal RNA
Source: RNAcentral
GCAGUCGAGCGGUAGAGAGAAGCUUGCUUCUCUUGAGAGCGGCGGACGGGUGAGUAAUGCCUAGGAAUCUGCCUGGUAGUGGGGGAUAACGUCCGGAAACGGACGCUAAUACCGCAUACGUCCUACGGGAGAAAGCAGGGGACCUUCGGGCCUUGCGCUAUCAGAUGAGCCUAGGUCGGAUUAGCUAGUUGGUGGGGUAAUGGCUCACCAAGGCGACGAUCCGUAACUGGUCUGAGAGGAUGAUCAGUCACACUGGAACUGAGACACGGUCCAGACUCCUACGGGAGGCAGCAGUGGGGAAUAUUGGACAAUGGGCGAAAGCCUGAUCCAGCCAUGCCGCGUGUGUGAAGAAGGUCUUCGGAUUGUAAAGCACUUUAAGUUGGGAGGAAGGGCAGUAAAUUAAUACUUUGCUGUUUUGACGUUACCGACAGAAUAAGCACCGGCUAACUCUGUGCCAGCAGCCGCGGUAAUACAGAGGGUGCAAGCGUUAAUCGGAAUUACUGGGCGUAAAGCGCGCGUAGGUGGUUCGUUAAGUUGGAUGUGAAAUCCCCGGGCUCAACCUGGGAACUGCAUUCAAAACUGACGAGCUAGAGUAUGGUAGAGGGUGGUGGAAUUUCCUGUGUAGCGGUGAAAUGCGUAGAUAUAGGAAGGAACACCAGUGGCGAAGGCGACCACCUGGACUGAUACUGACACUGA